This 444-nucleotide ribosomal RNA is filed under the name uncultured Streptococcus sp. RNAcentral's name for it is "bacterial SSU rRNA". It matches the Rfam family "Bacterial small subunit ribosomal RNA", at positions 936 to 1382 of the family's 1533-position model. Lineage: Bacteria; Bacillati; Bacillota; Bacilli; Lactobacillales; Streptococcaceae. The record is from RNAcentral.
AGCAUGUGGUUUAAUUCGAAGCAACGCGAAGAACCUUACCAGGUCUUGACAUCCGAUGCUAUUUCUAGAGAUAGAAAGUUACUUCGGUACAUCGGUGACAGGUGGUGCAUGGUUGUCGUCAGCUCGUGUCGUGAGAUGUUGGGUUAAGUCCCGCAACGAGCGCAACCCCUAUUGUUAGUUGCCAUCAUUCAGUUGGGCACUCUAGCGAGACUGCCGGUAAUAAACCGGAGGAAGGUGGGGAUGACGUCAAAUCAUCAUGCCCCUUAUGACCUGGGCUACACACGUGCUACAAUGGUUGGUACAACGAGUUGCGAGUCGGUGACGGCGAGCUAAUCUCUUAAAGCCAAUCUCAGUUCGGAUUGUAGGCUGCAACUCGCCUACAUGAAGUCGGAAUCGCUAGUAAUCGCGGAUCAGCACGCCGCGGUGAAUACGUUCCCGGGCCUU